CAAUACGUCAGUGGCGGACGGGUGAGUAACACGUGGGAAUAUGCCUUUCGGUUCGGAACAACUCGGGGAAACCCGUGCUAAUUCCGGAUACGCCCUUACGGGGAAAGAUUUAUCGCCGAAAGAUUGGCCCGCGUCUGAUUAGCUAGUUGGUGAGGUAACGGCUCACCAAGGCGACGAUCAGUAGCUGGUCUGAGAGGAUGAUCAGCCACACUGGGACUGAGACACGGCCCAG
This 232-nucleotide ribosomal RNA is filed under the name uncultured bacterium. Its description in RNAcentral is "partial 16S ribosomal RNA". It matches the Rfam family "Bacterial small subunit ribosomal RNA", at positions 85 to 334 of the family's 1533-position model. The record is from RNAcentral.